GACGAACGCUGGCGGCGUGCUUAACACAUGCAAGUCGAACGGAAAGGCCCUGCUUUUGUGGGGUGCUCGAGUGGCGAACGGGUGAGUAACACGUGAGUAACCUGCCCUUGACUUUGGGAUAACUUCAGGAAACUGGGGCUAAUACCGGAUAGGAGCUCCUGCUGCAUGGUGGGGGUUGGAAAGUUUCGGCGGUUGGGGAUGGACUCGCGGCUUAUCAGCUUGUUGGUGGGGUAGUGGCUUACCAAGGCUUUGACGGGUAGCCGGCCUGAGAGGGUGACCGGCCACAAUGGGACUGAGAUACGGCCCAGACUCCUACGGGAGGCAGCAGUGGGGAAUAUUGCACAAUGGGCGGAAGCCUGAUGCAGCAACUCCGCGUGCGGGAUGACGGCCUUCGGGUUGUAAACCGCUUUCGCCUGUGACGAAGCGUGAGUGACGGUAAUGGGUAAAGAAGCACCGGCUAACUACGUG
This 468-nucleotide ribosomal RNA is filed under the name uncultured bacterium. RNAcentral describes it as "partial 16S ribosomal RNA". It matches the Rfam family "Bacterial small subunit ribosomal RNA", at positions 28 to 507 of the family's 1533-position model. The record is from RNAcentral.